CAGAUUUCUUUAAAGGAUAUUUUGCACAGAAGCUUGCUGGGAAAUGUUAUCUAGACACUCUACGAAUAUAAACCUAAUAUAUUUGGCUUUAUGCACCUGAGCUUCUUCAGUAAAUAAACCUGCAGCAUCCUACGGAUCGCUAACAAAGAAUCUGCUGCAAUUUCCACAAUGUAGACAGACUUAUUGUCUAUGCAACAGAUUGUAAUAAACUUUUCAUUGCAAUUUCCCUUGUUUCACUCGAGCUUCACGCAACAUUAACAAAUGUAGUCAAAAGUAGAUAUGUAGUAAUCUGCAUAGUUUAGUAAAUGAUGAGCUUAGAGCUAAACAAUAAUUUAUCAGCAAUGAUAGAAUGAAUUAGAAACUCCAUGUAUUUCUUAAAUUAUGCAUAUAAUUUACUUCCGAAUACGAGAACAGUGAAAACAGGAAGCAGUAAGCACACAGGAACUUUGUUUUACAACUCAUAGUCAAGAUUAGGUAACUUAGAGAAGCAUAUAUUUCAUUUAUUCAUUUAAAACUGAAAAAAUGUGCCUAAUAAUCAAGUUUCAUACAUAUUCUUCUGCGAAGAACGAGUUUCACAGGAGCCACAUGUUCGAGCCAAAAUAAUUAAACAAGCCAAGCCAUAUGUAGAUUCAUCAGCCAGAUAGACAUGAUAACAACAAUUGACAACUUUUUCCAAUAUCAUAAGGAAUUCAAACAACGAAAAGGCUAAUGAUGUUAAGUACCAGACAGUAUGAAUGAUGAAAUGUUUGUAUAAAAAGGGCCUAAUUAGUGAUGGUUUACAACUUGAUCAUUUAAUGAACUCUGUUAAGUACGAGGAAGGUUCUCUAAGGAUAGUGACAUGAAAUGGACUUUGUGCACUACAUCCAAUCACAGGUAGUGAAAGAUUUCAUGUGAUUUUUAUAAUGUUGGCUUGUUAAAGAGUAUUGUCUUUGUUUUAUAAUUUUGAGUAUAAAAAUUGAUUAUAGAAAUUUGAAAAUUCUCAAACCCUAAUAUACUCUCUAUUAUUGAAGUAGCCGUCUCUGUCAUCAGUGGGGCUUCCAUCGGUUUUCAACAGUGGAGAGCCCCAAAUCUUUUGUUUGUUUCAUCUUAUUUUUUUCUUUCAAUAAUCUUACUCGUUGAGGAAGGAUUUGUCUCAUUUGAUUUGUUUUUUAGACCUACAUCAUCGGAGCUUACAGUUUACUUUUUUAUUUGAUUGAAGCGGAGCUUAUCGGAUACGAGAGUUACUCGUUCUUCUUGUGGUUUUGACGGUUAGAUCUAAGUUUUUUUAAUUUUCAUUUGUUUUCAGUCUACUUUUAUUUCGAUUGGUAAUUUGUAUUUUCAGGUUGUUUUCUCUCCCUGGUGAGAGCUUUGUUUUUCGCUUCUUAAUUGUAAGCGGGGUCUUGAUUUGGUGAUGAAAGUUUGUAUGGAAUCGCAAGUCGAUAGCUCAAACGAUAGCUCUAUCAGGGCAUGAUGAAGAGGGUAACAAUAAACGAGAAUGCAUGAAGCGAGUACUUGUAUUAGUAUAUACAUUUUCUUCAAAAAAUUGUUUAAUUGUCUCUUUAUAAGAACAGGCGAUUGCAAUAUACUCUUUGUUCGACUCCAUCAUUGGUGUAGAUGUCGUAUGACUUUUUAUUAUUAGAUUAACACUUUUGUUUCAAAAAAAAUUUGAUUAUAAUGUUCGUUUGGUACCUCACAAACUAACAAAUCUUAAUAGUCCCUUCAAAUAUAUACAGAAAUCUCAUGUAAAUUUGGAUUUUGUACAUACAAAUUCAUGAACUUGUCAAUAAAAUGUAGAUUGUCGGAAUGUAUCUUUUGCAUAAAGAAAUUUCGCCCCUCCAAAUUUUUUCUGGUUCCGUCCCUGCGAACGCUCAAUUCAGCUAUAAAUACAUGAGUAAUAUUGCUCUACAGUAUAUUCUAGAUAUUCACCUCAUACACGCACAGUAAGAAAGAAAGAGGUCAUAGCAAUUGAUAGAAAGAAUGGAAGCAUCAAAAGUAGAAAAAAUAGGGAGGUCUCUCCAGGUACCUUCAGUACAAGAACUGGCCAAGGAUGAAUCUGCCACAGUUCCAUCACAAUACAUUCAUUCUGAUCAAGAUCCUGUAAUUCUCAGUUCGACAGAUCUACCUGAAGUCCCUGUGAUUGAUAUGGAGAUCUUACUUCAUGGAGAUUUAAUGGACGCUGAGCUCAAUAAAUUUCACCAAGCAUGCAAAGAGUGGGGAUUCUUUCAGGUACACUAUGUUUAAGAUUAAUUUAUUUUUUUAGAGGAUGCUACUUGAAAAAAAAAAAAAAAACUAGAUUACAACGCGUCUUUGCAGUUAAUAAACCAUGGUGUUAGCGAUUCAUUACUGGAGAAGGUGAAAACAGAGGUCGUGGAGUUCUUUAAGCUGCCACUUGAAGAGAAGAGAAAGUUUGGUCAACUGGAUGGAGAUAUAGAGGGAUAUGGACAAUCCUUCGUUGUCUCGGAGGAGCAAAAGCUUGAUUGGGCUGAUAUGAUCUACAUGAUCACCCUUCCUACUGAUCUCAGGAAACCGCACUUAUUGCCACAACUACCUCAUUCAUUCAGGUAACACAAAAUUUCUCUUAUAUUAAGGCUUUUGCAGUAAUUUCUCCUACCUCCCGAAUGAGCCAACUGACAUGCAUCAACCCAUAACAAAUAUGCAAAAAUGCUAUAGAGGAUUACGCGGUGGAAUUGAAAAGCCUAGCCAUGAAUAUUCUCAAUCUAAUGGCCAAAGCUCUUCAAAUGAAUCCUGAGGAAAUGGAAGUGCUCUUUGAAGAAGGCAUGCAAUCAAUGAGGAUGAACUACUAUCCUCCAUGCCCUCAACCGGAACAGGUUAUAGGGCUCACGCCCCACAGCGAUGCUACUGGCUUUACUAUACUUUUUCAACUGAAUGAAAUUGACGGCCUACAGAUUAGCAAGGACGGUACUUGGAUUCCAAUAAAACCAUUGCCUUCUGCCUUUGUUAUAAACAUCGGAGAUGUUCUGGAGGUAAAAUUAACUCUUUUAAAUUUUUAUUGCUUGUAAAUGGAUGGACUAACAUGAUUUAAUCUGUAGGUUGUAACUAAUGGAACUUAUCGGAGCAUUGAGCAUAGAGGAGUUGUCAGCUCAGUGAAGGAGAGAAUGUCGAUUGCUACAUUUUUAAGCCCCAAGGUAGAUGCAGAAUUCGGUCCUGCACCAAGCCUUCUCUCGUCCCAAGCUCCUCCAAAGUUUAAAAGGAUUGCCGCUGCAGAUUUCUUUAAAGGAUAUUUUGCCCAGAAGCUUGCUGGGAGAUGUUAUCUAGACACUCUACGAAUAUAAACCUAAUAUAUUCGGCUUUAUGCACCUGAGCUUCUUCAGCAGAGGCGGACGCACGUUCAGGGUCAUGGGGUCACGUGCCCCCAUAUAAUAUUGAGUAUCCCACAAGUAUAUAUAUUUUUGAAAAAUUAAGGAUCAUUUAAUUUAUCUAAUAAGUAAUUUAUAAGUCAAAAAUAUCUCACUAAAACAAAUAAAAGGAAGUUUUAAACAAAUAAUUUAAAUUAAGAUGAAUUUUUGGCUCUAACAAAAAUUUAUGUUCUUUUAUAAUAUCAUUAUUUAUAUGGUGCCCCGUCUUUAUAAUUGUUCUAGAUCCGCCACUGUUCUUCAGUGAAUAAACCUGCAACUUCCUACGUAUCGCUAACAAAGAAUCUGCUGCAAUUUCCACAAUGUAAACAGACUUAUUGUCUAUGCAACAGAUUGUAAUGAACUUUUCAUUGCAAUUUCCCUUGUUUCACUCGAGCUUCACGCAACAUUAACAAAUGUAGUCAAAAGUAGAUAUCUAGUAAUCUGCAUAGUUUAGUAAAUGAUGAGCUUAGAGCUAAACAAUAAUUUAUCAGCAAUGAUAGAAUGAAUUAGAAACUCCAUGUAUUUCUUAAAUUAUGCAUAUAAUUUACUUCCGAAUACGAGAACAGUGAAAACAGGAAGCAGUAAGCACACAGGAACUUUGUUUUACAACUCAUAGUCAAGAUUAGGUAACUUAGAGAAGCA
Molecule: long non-coding RNA, 3977 nt
Filed under: Daucus carota (carrot)
Lineage: Eukaryota; Viridiplantae; Streptophyta; Magnoliopsida; Apiales; Apiaceae
Description: long non-coding RNA (DCAR_LNC000886)
Source: RNAcentral